Mytilus californianus (California mussel) is the source of this 369-nucleotide long non-coding RNA. RefSeq lists it as uncharacterized. Lineage: Eukaryota; Metazoa; Mollusca; Bivalvia; Mytilida; Mytilidae. The record is from RefSeq and is a predicted model, not a curated record. The transcript is spliced from 2 exons.
UUUUACAAAAAUCUUCUCCUCUGAAACCACUCGGCCAAAUUUAAUCAAACUUGGCCACAAUCAUCAUUAGGGUGUCUAGUUUAAAAAAUGUGUCCGAUGACCCCGCCAACCAACCAAGAUGGCCGCCAUGGCUAAAAAUAGAACAUAGGGGUAAAAUGUAGAUUUUGGCUUAUAUCUCUGAAACCAAAGCAUUUAGAGUAAAUCUGACAAAGGGUAAAACUGAUUAUCAGGUCAAGAUCUAUCUGCCCUGAAAUUUUCAGAUGAAUCGGACAACCUGUUGUUGAGUUGCUGCCCCUGAAUUGGUAAUUUUAAGGAAAUUUUUGCCGUUUUUGGUUAUUAUCUUGAAUAUUAUUAUAGAUAGAGAUAAAA